UCCUCAGUGGUCUAGUGGUUAAGACUCUGCACUUCCAAUGCAGAAGGCACGGGUUCCAUGCCUGGUUGGGGAA
Transfer RNA from Ovis aries (sheep), 73 nucleotides. It matches the Rfam family "tRNA". Rfam says of the family: Transfer RNA (tRNA) molecules are approximately 80 nucleotides in length. NCBI's taxonomy places the organism in Eukaryota, Metazoa, Chordata, Mammalia, Artiodactyla, Bovidae. The record is from Rfam.